GUGGUAGCAUUUUAAACCUCAUGGUUACUAUAUAUGAUGAUUGAUUCAUUCGUUGGUUCUCUUUGGGGUUUUAUCAUACCUUCCUAUGUUUAUGAGAUAUUUUCCUAGUUUGGUUACUCUAACUGUGUUCCAAAUACUUUGAUUUACGCUUUAUUUUACCCUUGGCUUAGGGGUGCAAUAAAACUUAUUAUAACUGGACAAUAUGAAAAGACAGUUUAUCAACCAUAAACUUAUUCUCUAAA
This 242-nucleotide long non-coding RNA is filed under the name Homo sapiens (human). Its description in RNAcentral is "non-protein coding lnc-TAAR8-1:1". Lineage: Eukaryota; Metazoa; Chordata; Mammalia; Primates; Hominidae. The record is from RNAcentral.